AAUAUUGGACAAUGGGCGAAAGCCUGAUCCAGCCAUGCCGCGUGUGUGAAGAAGGCUCUAGGGUUGUAAAGCACUUUCAAUUGGGAGGAAAAGCUAAUGGUUAAUAACCAUUAGCCUUGACGUUACCUUUAUAAGAAGCACCGGCAAACUCCGUGCCAGCAGCCGCGGUAAUACGGAGGGUGCGAGCGUUAAUCGGAAUUACUGGGCGUAAAGCGCGCGUAGGUGGUUUAGUAAGCAGGAUGUGAAAUCCCCGGGCUCAACCUGGGAACUGCAUCCUGAACUGCUAGACUAGAGUAUGGUAGAGGAUAGUGGAAUUUCAGGUGUAGCGGUGAAAUGCGUAGAUAUCUGAAGGAACAUCAGUGGCGAAGGCGACUAUCUGGAUCAAUACUGACACUGAGGUGCGAAAGCGUGGGGAGCAGACAGGAUUAGAUACCCUGGUAGUCCACGCCGUA
This 452-nucleotide ribosomal RNA is filed under the name uncultured marine bacterium. RNAcentral's name for it is "bacterial SSU rRNA". It matches the Rfam family "Bacterial small subunit ribosomal RNA", at positions 360 to 804 of the family's 1533-position model. The record is from RNAcentral.